This is a non-coding RNA of Chrysemys picta bellii (western painted turtle), 327 nucleotides long. The record is from the annotation of a RefSeq genome assembly. Lineage: Eukaryota; Metazoa; Chordata; Testudines; Emydidae.
AUGCGGCUGGUGGAGUCCGGGGGCGGCGCUGCGAACACAGGUGGCUCCAGGCGGCUCUCCUGCACCGGCUCCGGAUUCGCUUUCAGUAGCUACACCAUGUUCUGGUACCGGCAGCGCCCCGGGGAAGGGCUGGAAUGGGUCUCCUGGAUUAGCAGCAGUGGCGGCAGCACAGAUUACCCUGAGUCGGUGAAAGGGCGAUUCACCGUCUCCCGAGACAACGCCAAGAACCAGCUGUAUCUGCAAACGAGCCGCCUGGGGCCCGAGGACAGCGCCCGGUAUCACUGCGCUGCGAGAGGCACAGUGCGGGGAAGCCAGGCUGAGCUCUGA